AUCAUUACAUGAAUUGUACAGAUAUUAAUGUGUAUGUGAUUAAUAGAAAUAUGAUAAGACAAAGCCUUAAUAGGCAAGGAAAAAUCCCGUUUGAACCUUAGGAAUAAAUUAGGAUACGAGUGACAUGUCACUAGGAAUUAUGAGUCUAGAUGACUAGCUCGAUAGUGAGCAUUGAAAUGUCAUGAGAUAUGAGAUAGCUUUAGCUACAAUUGAGGCACUUAUGUGCAAAGGCUUUUCCGAGUAUCCAAUUAGUAUUCCAAGUGUUCAACGGGCAAUCCAAGGAAAGAGUUGAUGAUGGUCCCAAUGAGGUAAGUCAUUGGUGAGUAUGCACUCGAGUUAUGUUACGAGUUGUGCAAGUAUGUAUACUAAGCCUAUGAGAAUGCCUUGAUAUGUGAUGAUCUAUGAUGCAUAAUAUGUGUUCUUACCAUGAUGGAUAAAAUGGUGUUGUAUUAAUAUUAUGAACAAUGACC
RNAcentral lists this long non-coding RNA (470 nucleotides) under Gossypium barbadense (sea-island cotton). RNAcentral's name for it is "long non-coding RNA (GBAR_LNC013057)". The record is from RNAcentral. Lineage: Eukaryota; Viridiplantae; Streptophyta; Magnoliopsida; Malvales; Malvaceae.